This 644-nucleotide long non-coding RNA is filed under the name Marmota monax (woodchuck). The record is from RNAcentral. Lineage: Eukaryota; Metazoa; Chordata; Mammalia; Rodentia; Sciuridae.
GUUACAUCCUCCUUUUUAUUUUUUAUUUUGAGACCGGGUCUUGCUAAGUUGCUGAGGAUGGCCUUAAAAUUGUGAUCCUCCUACCUCAGUCUCCCGAGUUACUGGCAUUACAGGUGUGUGCCACAGACCCAGCAGAAGGGGUGUAACGUGCCCUACAAAUCUGUAGCAGACCUAUUGAUCUUUUGGUGUAUGCAUGGUUAUUCAGGGGAAGAGGGAUAGCUUACUAGAAAUGGAAAGACCAUUGUAAUAGUGCUAGAUCCUGUUAUCUUUCUGGUAUAAUGGUGUCUAUAGAUAAGUUUUAACUAGAAUCCUUGGAGCUUUAAGCCUUAGCGGCUCUGGCAAUAAAGGGUUAAUAGGUGAGUAUGAUGGUGUGUAUAGACAGGUUUUAACUAGAAUCCUUGGAGCUUUAAGCCUUAGUGGCUCUGGCAAUAAAGGGUUAAUAGGUGAGUAUGAUAUUACAUACACAGCUGCAUUGCUCAGUAUGGUAUAGGGAAAAAAGCCCUGCAUUUCACAUCUGAAGACUUUGUCUCUCAGUUCUCCCAUUUAAAAAGGCCUUUGACAAAGCCUUUAUAAUUCUCUGAUCCUUAGGUUUUCUAUGAGCAUCUGUAUCUGCUCUGUUUAUUCCUUACAGGGCUAUUAUAAGA